ACUCUCUCACGCGAGAGGCACGCAGUGCGGGAAUCUUUGCACAAUGGNGGAAACCCUGAUCGCAGCCGAUNCCGCUGUGAGUGAUAGAAGGCCUUAUGGGUUGUAAAGNCUCCUUUCGUCGGGGAAGAAAAAUGACCUGUACCCGCANAAAGAAAGCNCCCGGCUAACUCC
RNAcentral lists this ribosomal RNA (171 nucleotides) under uncultured Alphaproteobacteria bacterium. RNAcentral's name for it is "partial 16S ribosomal RNA". Lineage: Bacteria; Pseudomonadati; Pseudomonadota; Alphaproteobacteria. The record is from RNAcentral.